GUGCUUAACACAUGCAAGUCGAACGAUGAAACCUAGCUUGCUAGGUGGAUUAGUGGCGCACGGGUGAGUAAUAUAUAGAUAACGUGCCUCUUAGUCUGGGAUAGCCAUUGGAAACGAUGAUUAAUACUGGAUACUCCUUCUCUUUAUAAUAAGAGUUGGGAAAGUUUUUCGCUAAGAGAUCGGUCUAUAUCCCAUCAGCUUGUUGGUAGUGUAAGAGACUACCAAGGCAAUGACGGGUAGCGGGUUUGAGAGGAUGAUCCGCCACACUGGUACUGAGACACGGACCAGACUCCUACGGGAGGCAGCAGUGAGGAAUAUUGCACAAUGGAGGAAACUCUGAUGCAGCAACGCCGCGUGGAGGAUGACGCAUUUCGGUGUGUAAACUCCUUUUAUAGGUCAAGAAAAUGACGGUAGCCUAUGAAUAAGCACCGGCUAACUCCGUGCCAGCAGCCGCGGUAAUACGGAGGGUGCAAGCGUUAUUCGGAAUCACUGGGCGUAAAGGACACGUAGGCGGGAAGCCAAGUCUGAUGUGAAAUCCUACAGCUUAACUGUAGAACUGCAUUGGAAACUGGUUACCUAGAGUAUGGGAGGGGGAGAUGGAAUUAGUGGUGUAGGGGUAAAAUCCGUAGAUAUCACUAGGAAUACCUAAAGCGAAGGCGAUCUCCUGGAACAUUACUGACGCUAAGGUGUGAAAGCGUGGGGAGCAAACGGGAUUAGAUACCCCGGUAGUCCACGCCCUAAACGAUGUUCACUAGUCGUCGGGAUGCUAGUCAUCUCGGUGAUGCACUUAACAGAUUAAGUGAACCGCCUGGGGAGUACGG
RNAcentral lists this ribosomal RNA (821 nucleotides) under uncultured bacterium. RNAcentral describes it as "bacterial SSU rRNA". It matches the Rfam family "Bacterial small subunit ribosomal RNA", at positions 44 to 885 of the family's 1533-position model. The record is from RNAcentral.